Molecule: ribosomal RNA, 636 nt
Filed under: Salmonella enterica subsp. enterica serovar Montevideo
Lineage: Bacteria; Pseudomonadati; Pseudomonadota; Gammaproteobacteria; Enterobacterales; Enterobacteriaceae
Description: bacterial SSU rRNA
Rfam family: Bacterial small subunit ribosomal RNA
Source: RNAcentral
AAAUUGAAGAGUUUGAUCAUGGCUCAGAUUGAACGCUGGCGGCAGGCCUAACACAUGCAAGUCGAACGGUAACAGGAAGCAGCUUGCUGCUUUGUUGACGAGUGGCGGACGGGUGAGUAAUGUCUGGGAAACUGCCUGAUGGAGGGGGAUAACUACUGGAAACGGUGGCUAAUACCGCAUAACGUCGCAAGACCAAAGAGGGGGACCUUCGGGCCUCUUGCCAUCAGAUGUGCCCAGAUGGGAUUAGCUUGUUGGUGAGGUAACGGCUCACCAAGGCGACGAUCCCUAGCUGGUCUGAGAGGAUGACCAGCCACACUGGAACUGAGACACGGUCCAGACUCCUACGGGAGGCAGCAGUGGGGAAUAUUGCACAAUGGGCGCAAGCCUGAUGCAGCCAUGCCGCGUGUAUGAAGAAGGCCUUCGGGUUGUAAAGUACUUUCAGCGGGGAGGAAGGUGUUGUGGUUAAUAACCGCAGCAAUUGACGUUACCCGCAGAAGAAGCACCGGCUAACUCCGUGCCAGCAGCCGCGGUAAUACGGAGGGUGCAAGCGUUAAUCGGAAUUACUGGGCGUAAAGCGCACGCAGGCGGUCUGUCAAGUCGGAUGUGAAAUCCCCGGGCUCAACCUGGGAACUGCAU